CCUACGGGGGGCUGCAGUGGGGAAUAUUGGACAAUGGGGGCAACCCUGAUCCAGCCAUGCCGCGUGUGUGAAGAAGGCCCUCGGGUUGUAAAGCACUUUCAGUGAGGAAGAACGCCUGGUGGUUAAUACCCAUCAGGAAAGACAUCACUCACAGAAGAAGCACCGGCUAACUCCGUGCCAGCAGCCGCGGUAAUACGGAGGGUGCGAGCGUUAAUCGGAAUUACUGGGCGUAAAGCGCGCGUAGGUGGCUUGAUAAGCCGGUUGUGAAAGCCCCGGGCUCAACCUGGGAACGGCAUCCGGAACUGUCAAGCUAGAGUGCAGGAGAGGAAGGUAGAAUUCCCGGUGUAGCGGUGAAAUGCGUAGAGAUCGGGAGGAAUACCAGUGGCGAAGGCGACCUUCUGGACUGACACUGACACUGAGGUGCGAAAGCGUGGGUAGCAAACAGGAUUAGAUACCCUAGUAGUC
RNAcentral lists this ribosomal RNA (465 nucleotides) under Vreelandella stevensii. RNAcentral's name for it is "partial 16S ribosomal RNA". It matches the Rfam family "Bacterial small subunit ribosomal RNA", at positions 338 to 795 of the family's 1533-position model. The record is from RNAcentral. Lineage: Bacteria; Pseudomonadati; Pseudomonadota; Gammaproteobacteria; Oceanospirillales; Halomonadaceae.